GACGAACGCUGGCGGCGUGCUUAACACAUGCAAGUCGAACGGAAAGGCCCUGCUUUUGUGGGGUGCUCGAGUGGCGAACGGGUGAGUAACACGUGAGUAACCUGCCCUUGACUUUGGGAUAACUUCAGGAAACUGGGGCUAAUACCGGAUAGGAGCUCCUGCUGCAUGGUGGGGGUUGGAAAGUUUCGGCGGUUGGGGAUGGACUCGCGGCUUAUCAGCUUGUUGGUGGGGUAGUGGCUUACCAAGGCUUUGACGGGUAGCCGGCCUGAGAGGGUGACCGGCCACAUUGGGACGGAGAUACGGCCCAGACUCCUACGGGAGGCAGCAGUGGGGAAUAUUGCGCAAGGGGCGGAAGCCUGAUGCAGCAACGCCGCGUGCGGGAUGACGGCCUUCGGGUUGUAAACCGCUUUCGCCUGUGACGAAGCGUGAGUGACGGUAAUGGGUAAAGAAGCACCGGCUAACUACGUG
Molecule: ribosomal RNA, 468 nt
Filed under: uncultured bacterium
Lineage: Bacteria
Description: partial 16S ribosomal RNA
Rfam family: Bacterial small subunit ribosomal RNA
Source: RNAcentral